Molecule: transfer RNA, 21 nt
Filed under: Cygnus olor (mute swan)
Lineage: Eukaryota; Metazoa; Chordata; Aves; Anseriformes; Anatidae
Also listed under: 17 other names
Description: partial tRNA-Met
Source: RNAcentral
GUUCAACCCCCUCCCCUACUA